UACGUAGGGUGCGAGCGUUAAUCGGAAUUACUGGGCGUAAAGCGUGCGCAGGCGGUUCGCAAAGUCAGCUGUGAAAGCCCCGGGCUUAACCUGGGAAUGGCGGUUGAAACUUGCGGACUAGAAUCUGGCAGAGGGGGGUGGAAUUCCACGUGUAGCAGUGAAAUGCGUAGAGAUGUGGAGGAACACCGAUGGCGAAGGCAGCCCCCUGGGCUGAGAUUGACGCUCAGGCACGAAAGCGUGGGGAGCAAACAGG
This 253-nucleotide ribosomal RNA is filed under the name uncultured bacterium. Its description in RNAcentral is "partial 16S ribosomal RNA". It matches the Rfam family "Bacterial small subunit ribosomal RNA", at positions 524 to 776 of the family's 1533-position model. The record is from RNAcentral.